AUGUCAUAUGGUGCCAGCAAGAUGCCGUUAGGGGAGAAGCAGAAUGCUGCAGUGGGGAAGGAGCCUGUUGAGAAGGCGGAAGGGGUGGACUCCAUGAUGGGGUGCCUUAACCUCCUUGCGGACGACACUGAUUUUGUGGAGAUGAGUGAUGAUGAGGAAGGGGAUUGCUCGGUGCCGGUGAAGUGGUCGCUGCUCGGGAUGAUUCUCUCGCCCUCUGUGAUUCAUAUCAGCACCACCACGUCGGCAAUGCGCCCGGCCUGGGGAAAUCCCAGGGGGCUCAAGCUCAGGAACGUUCGAGACAACGUGUUUGUGGCUGAUUUCGCGAACAAGUCUGACAGAGAUAGGGCUCAAGAGGGGACGCCAUGGAUGGUGGGUAAACAUGCGGUUCUCCUUCAAGACUACGAUCCCUGGCUUCGCCCGUCAGAUAUCAGGUUCGACUCAAUGUCUAUCUGGGUCAGAAUCUUGAACCUUCCCUUUGAAUGGAUGAACAAUCGCAAGGGCCUGAAGAUUGCAAAACUGAUCGACAAGAACUGCACGGUGGAUGUGGACGAGGGUGGCAAUGCCUCAGGCUCCUUUCUGCGAGCCAGGGUGUCCAUCCCUCUUAAAGGGCCCUUGCGCCGGUGGGUGACAAUCAGGAAGGGCAGCGAGGAUGUGAAAUAUGACCUACAAGGCUUGAGAGCCCCAGAGGAGAGAAGAAAGCGGCUGCAAUCCUUUGGGCAGGCUGCUGUUUCAGCUUCCUGGAGCAGUGAUAACAAAGACAGAGGAGGGGGAAGCCGUGGCUCCGUCCCUGAGUCUGCCACCAGCAGAACUUCUCGUGAAACAGGGGUGAAUGAGACUGUGAAGCCUGGCGAGCAAGAGGCGACUUCACCACUUGCAAAAAACAAACCUGUCCCAGGAAGAAACAAAGUUUCCGAGAUUGCAAAGAAAUUAUUCUCUACGGACCCGGAGAUGCCGGAAAAAUAUGUACGCAAGAGAAAACCAGAAUCUAGGGCUGGGAGUAAAGGAGAUGGGGCUGCUAAGGGGAAGCUUUCUACUGCCCCCCUGCAAGGUUCAGACCUCUCUCUGGUCGUCGUGGGCAAGGGCUUAGUGGGAGGGCCCAGUCUCCCGCUCACUGGUUUGGACAAGGACGAAAAGCUGACAAAAAACACAAGAAUGACCAGUUCUGUUUCCAAAGCCAGGGGAAUCAAAAGGGGGUGGGUAGAGAUCAAGUUGCAACAAGCACAGAAGCGGGGCUGCCUAUUCAGCCCUGCAGUAAGCAAUGAAGAAACAAAGCUGGACAGGGAGAGGAUGAAGCGAAUUAAGGUGUUGUCGGGAAUGCCCAACAUGGAGGUAAAGGACUGUGAGGGGCAAAGCGGUGGCUUGGCCCUUCUCUGGAAGAAGGAUGUAAAUGUAAGAGUGAACCCUGGGAUGUCGCGCUACCACAUCGACGCCGACGUCACUGGGGAGGAUGGGUUCAUCUGGAGGCUUACUAGUAUUUAUGGUGAACCGAAGCACGGGGAGAAAGAGAAGACUUGGAAACUCUUGCGCAUCCUUCAUGGACGUUCCUCUCUGCCUUGGAUGUGUUUUGGUGACUUCAAUGAGAUCCUCUUCGCAAGUGAGAAGCAGGGGGGUCCGGAUAGAUCCCAUGCCUGCAUGGAUAAAUUUCGGAGUGCUCUGGAGUUCUGUGAGCUUGAGGAUUUGGGCUUCGUGGGGGAUCCUUACACUUGGCGCAAUCACAGUCACCGAGCGGACUCUUACAUUAAGGAGAGGCUUGAUCGGGCUAUCGCAAACUUGGGAUGGCGCUCCCAUUUCCCGGCCUACAAGGCAAUCAAUGGGGAUCCAAGGCACUCCGAUCACAGACCCGUGAUUGUGGUUUUGGAACCGGAAUACCGGGGCAAUAGCACUGGGUGCGUGUUUGAACAACAAAAAUUCGAGGCAAAGUGGCUUGAGGAGGAGCAAUGCGAUGAGGUGGUGCGCAAUGCCUGGCACUUGGCAAUGCUGACUGGCGAUAGAGGGUUAGCUGCCACAAUCAAAAGAGUUGGGAUGGAACUGCACACAUGGAGCAAAGAGGCCUUGGGCGAUCUAAAGAACCGUAUCAAGAAGGUCAAGAAGGAGCUCAAUCGCUGCAGGAAAAGAGCCAUCUCCCAGGAGCAAGUCUCUCUUGAGCAGAUGCUAAGGUACAAGCUUGAGAGACUGCAAGACCAAAAAAAUACUUAUUGGAAGCAGCGAGCGAAGGCUCAUUGGCUGCAUGAUGGAGAUCGAAACACUAGCUUCUUCCACGCUUGCGCCUCGGAGAGGCGCAGGAUGAACUUGAUCAAAUCUCUCAAGAAUGACGAGGGCGGUGUGGUGGAGGGGGAGGAGGAGCUGAGAACCUUUAUCACUAACUACUACUCCCUCCGUUCCAAAAUAGAUGACUCAACUUUGUACUAACUUUAGUACAAAGUUGAGUCAUCUAUUUUGGAACGGAGGGAGUACAAGCAGCUUUUCUCUUCUCGUGCAGGAACUAGAGCGGAUGAGCUCCUUGACAAGGUCUCCCCCAUUGUUACUGCUGAGAUGAAUGUCUUCCUUAAGAGACCUUUCACCAUUGAAGAAAUAAAAUUGGCUCUUAAUUCCAUGAGUGAUUUGAAGGCCCCGGGUCUAGAUGGCAUGCCAGCGGUCUUUUAUAAGCGCUUCUGGGAUCUAGUAGGGGAAGUUGUGCAGGGCGAAGUUCUCGAGGUUCUAAAUGGUGGCCAAAUUCCAGCGGGCUGGAACGAAAUGGUCAUUGUCUUGAUCCCCAAAGUCAAGAAUCCAACCCACCUUAAGGAGUUGCGGCCGAUCAGCCUUUGCAACGUGGUGUUUAAGAUUGUCACAAAGGUGAUUGCUUGUCGGAUGAAGGAGGUGCUUGAUGUGGUCAUUUCUCCUAGCCAGAGUGCCUUUGUCUCUGGACGGCUGAUUACCGACAAUAUUCUGAUCGCUUAUGAGACCACCCAUUUCAUGCGCCAGAGAAAGGGAGGCUUCUCUAAUAGCUGGGUGCAACUGGUGAUGCGUUGUGUGACCACGGUCACAUACAGGGUUAAGGUGAACAAGAAUCUGACUGAGGUGGUGGUGCCUCAAUGUGGCCUGAGGCAAGGGUGUCCUCUAUCACCUUACCUUUUCAUCUUGUGUGCUGAGGGGCUCUCGGCUCUCUUCCACCGGGCUGAGGAGGAUGGAUCCCUGCAGGGAGUUCAGGAGCUGUGGAGGUGUGAUGAAGACACACAGCUGAAGGCCGUGACCUUUAUGUGGGAAUGGUGGAAUGUUCGCAACAAGGCCAAUGCUGGUGAGGCGGCUCCUAAGCCUCAAGCGGUUUGUCACCGGGUGGAGAAGAUGCUGAUUGAGUCCCUGGGCUUGCGCAAACCAAACAAGCCUCCUAGGCCACCAGACAUUCACAAAUGGAGCAAGCCCCCCGUGCAUCAUGUGAAGGCUGGCGAAUUUAUCGCUGCUGGUGCGGGCAAGUCCGUGAACCUGAAAUGUGCUUUGCAAUCUGAAUCUGUAGCCUGCCUUGCUGCCAUUGAUGGGGCGAUCGGGAUUGGGGCAAAUCGAAUCAUCUUCGAGUCUGACUCCCCAACCCUUAUACAGGCUUUGAAGAGCAACGAUUAUGACAAGGCAACCAUUGGAUUUGGAAAGACGCCGACAUCUAUAAGAUGCGGUGAUGAUCUCACUAGGAGUACAAAUGAGGAGCUAAUAGCCAGCAAGGCUGACUCGAAGCCGAACUCAAAUGAGAACCUAACGACUUGCAAUGGUGUUGGAAAGUUGAUCGAGUCAUUGCCUCCAGGAGACGCCAUUCUGUUUUUAUGCUCCGGCAUUCCUAUAGAACACAAUCCGUCUUGCACAAAAGUGUUGACCUCAACAAAUUUGGCUGCAGCUAUGAGGGACAAAACAAAAUCCAGCUCUGCCAUGAAGAUUCAAGUGCGCGAUGCAUUUAGUAAUGUUGCCCCUGGGUGCUUGGAGGAAUGUGAGUUAGAUCACGGGACUGUUAGGGCUGCUGUUGUCAAAGUGACAUGGUUCCUUGAUGUUUGUGAAGUACGUCUCCGCCAUGGGGUGGAAAUUCCGCCCCUCAUUGUCGUGGUAGCCAUACACUUUAAUGGCUCUGGUGGAGCGACGGCUGUAAAAGAGAUCCUGAGUAAAGUUUCAACGCCUUCCGAGACUGUGCUUUGCAAGGCUGGUGAUGGCGAGCCACUCUUUGACGGUGAUGGGAACUUUGUUGGCAUGGCUAUUUUUUCCGAUGGCAGGCAUGUUUAUGUGCAAGGAAGUGUAAUUUUUGAAAAUUUGGUGGAAUUUGCGAGAGGGAUUAGGGCAAGGGAGGUCAUGAGGUGGGGGCUGAAACUGGGGAAGAAAGGAUCGGUGAUUGCCCUAGAACACUACUCGGUGGUAGGUGGCCGUUUGGGCUUCAGUUACUGCAUGACAGAUGACAGAUGGGACGAGACAGCUCAGAAAGGUAUCUGCAUGCCCGGCCGUCAGACAAUGGCAUGCGCCGCUAUGCAAUAG
Molecule: ribosomal RNA, 4482 nt
Filed under: Triticum aestivum (bread wheat)
Lineage: Eukaryota; Viridiplantae; Streptophyta; Magnoliopsida; Poales; Poaceae
Description: partial small subunit ribosomal RNA
Source: RNAcentral